RNAcentral lists this ribosomal RNA (409 nucleotides) under Actinomycetes bacterium. Its description in RNAcentral is "Actinobacteria bacterium partial 16S ribosomal RNA". It matches the Rfam family "Bacterial small subunit ribosomal RNA", at positions 355 to 776 of the family's 1533-position model. The record is from RNAcentral. Lineage: Bacteria; Bacillati; Actinomycetota; Actinomycetes.
UGGGGAAUAUUGCACAAUGGGCGCAAGCCUGAUGCAGCGACGCCGCGUGAGGGAUGACGGCCUUCGGGUUGUAAACCUCUUUCAGCUCCGACGAAGCGCAAGUGACGGUAGGAGCAGAAGAAGCACCGGCCAACUACGUGCCAGCAGCCGCGGUAAUACGUAGGGUGCAAGCGUUGUCCGGAAUUACUGGGCGUAAAGAGCUCGUAGGCGGUUUGUCGCGUCGUCUGUGAAAUUCUGCAGCUUAACUGCAGGCGUGCAGGCGAUACGGGCAGACUUGAGUACUACAGGGGAGACUGGAAUUCCUGGUGUAGCGGUGAAAUGCGCAGAUAUCAGGAGGAACACCGGUGGCGAAGGCGGGUCUCUGGGUAGUAACUGACGCUGAGGAGCGAAAGCGGGGGUAGCGAACAGG